CUGAACCCUCACGGCCAUAAAACAGCCACCCUGCUGCCCCACGGGCCAGGAGAGACCAGGACACAUCAACCCUGGUGCCCUGACGGCUGUUAAAGAUGUCCUAAGUGCCCUGUAAGAUUAGCUGUACGGCCUAAUUGCUGUGGUGUCAGUGAGCGUCUCUCCCUUUGUGAUCAGGUUCACUUGGAGCUGUUAGGCUUGUUAAAUGAAAGAGCGCUGUUACAGAGGGUGGCAAGAAGUCCAGAUGAAAUGGACUUGAAUGAAGCAAUACAGUGACUUGCACUCUUGCAGGUGUCCACCAGAUGCUGCAAGCAGACUGAGCCUUUGCAGAAAAACCACAUGAUUUCACAUGUGGAAAAUCAUCUGAUUUCACGUGACAUUUCCACAUGUUUUGCACAUGAGAAAUCCUGUGUUUUUGGAACACAUGACGUGAUGAUAUUUCACAUGUGGAUUUUCACAGAAUCCGGUGAGGCACAGCAAGAGAUGUGGAUCCAGCGGGGGGAAAAGAGAGGAAGAGAGAAGCUGCUCAGAAUUUCACACGGAUUCGGAAUGUUUCGGAAUCGCCUCUACUGCAGAAUAUUUGCUGCAUGACUGACUCAGACCUUGGCCGAUGGCACGGGACUUUUGGCCAAUCAGAGAACCCCAUGGUCAGACAGACGGACAGCCCUAGCACUCCCCCCAGCCCCCUGCAGCUCUGCCAUCCAUUUUGUGUGUCUCUGCCAAAGUAGUCAGGUAGCAGGAUGAUGGGGCAAGAGGAGAGAAGAGGGCACUAGUCCAGAGGAUAUUGGGGGGAGAGAGGUAUGUUAAUGUACAGUGACAGGAAGGAAUACAGAAUCUGCUCUUUUCUUAUUUGGAGGUUUAAUUGUUGCCGACUGACUGACUGACUGACUGCAUACAAAAACAGCCUUGAAGACAGCACCGCUGGACCCUUCCCAGCUCCUCUUCUCAAAGAGCUGACCUUGGGCAGACGCCAUAAACUGUGUUUUUCCAUUGGCCCAAAAUGUGAUGCUGGCAAGGCCUGCAGCUGCACAAACCCCGUCCCACCACCCCAGCCCCCUCCGUGCCCCGCCCUGGCUCGACUCCCCCAGCAAGUCUGUGCCUGGCCUGACCCGUAACACAACCUGCCUGGCCUGCUUAUGGUGCAGAAGAGCCGGGGCCGCCCGAGCUCUAUCCAAUGCCCCUAACAUUUCCCCAGCCCUAGCUCCAACCUCAGCCCCAGUUCCAGCCCCAUGCCCCAUCCUCAGCCAAGCCCCCAGCCCCAGCUCCAACCCUGACCCCAACCUCAGACCCACGCUAAGCCCCAAACCUCCAAUCCUUAGCCAGUACUGCCCGCGGCUCUGGAAUUCUGCGCAUGCCAGGCAUUCGAUUAGACAGACAUAAUAGUGUAUAGAUCCCAUGCUGCCUGGCCAUACUACCACGGCUAUAUGGACAAGGGACAAGGCUUCAAAGACCCAUGGUGUUUAGCUAUGCUAAGCUAACUGUGCAUCAUUCCUUUAUUAGCAAUGUUAGCAAACUCAAAUAUUGCCCCCUUUUAGUCUAUAGCCUAUAGGCUACCAGUAGACCCACAUAGACUCAUCAGAAGCCUACGUUAGGCUGUAGAACACUGUUCUGACAGUCAACACCCCCAUAGCUCAGUUCUUUCGUCCUCUCUCUCUCUCUCUCCCUCUCCCUCUCCCUCUCCCUCUCUCUCUCUCUCUCUCUCUCUCUCUCUCUCUCUCUCUUUAAUAUCCUUCCUCUAAUCUGCCAUGUGCUCCAGUAUGGCACAGAACAGCCUACAUAUUGUAUUUGUGGUGAUGAAUUAUAAAUGAUAUUGCAUAACCUUUCCCGUUAUAACCUUAUCUGUGAAUCAUCUACCCAGAGACAUGCAAGCAUGGAUACAUUUCCCCGUGCUUGCAGUCUAGACCGGACCUUGUGGAAAUGAUACUGUGAAGUUGCCUGGCCUCUGGUGGGCCUGCGUUUGUUUAUGGUUACACACAAAGCAGAUGGCCACGCAACAUGGGCGCAUAUCUCACACUAACACUCACUGACACUGCCACAAGCACACACACACUCACCCACGCACACACUCACACUCUCGCACACUCACACGCCUGAGGAACAAUCGAGUUGGACUCGUGAGCUAUUUAUUUGAUCUCUGAUCUCUCUUUCUAUUCUCCCGUUAUCAAUGGGUUUCAUGAUUGUCCCAUGUGACUCAUGAGGAUACUUAACCUGAGUAGCUAGCUAGCAUUGACAACAGUGGUUUACAUGGCAGACCUGAUCCUGCCAAGGGCUCAAAUGGUAAAAUACAGCAGCUAACUGUAGCUAACUGUAUGUAAGCUAACUGUAUGUCAGCUAUAGUUAACAUUAGCUAUUUGUAGCUAACAGUACAAUAGAUAACUGUACAGUAGUAUCUAGCGGUAUCAUAGCUAAAUGUACAGUAGCUAACCAUCCUAGCUGCUAACCUGUUCAUCAAAGUUACUGUAUAUACAUUAGCCCCCUGUCCUCCCACUCUUUCAGCCAGUUCAGAGGCAGGGAGAGCGAGGAGAGAAGAGGUAUGUGUCCCACCCUCUAUUAAUAGACAGAUGGAGCUCUGUGUAGGCAGGGCGCUCCGCGGCAGGCGCAAGUCUCGUCAGAUGGCCAGGCGCUGGGGUACCGUCAGAUCGAGGGGUGCAGGGGGGACAGCCAGAGUGGAGGGUUGGACGUGUCAGAACUGUUGAUUUGACUUAAUGGACGGGGGUCACCAGGAAGAUGCAUGACUCCAUCAGUGCUUCUGUUAGCAUGGUUGCUCGUGGGUAUUAGUGGGACUAUGGCCAUUACUGAGACGAAGGACAAAGGGGUGAUAAGACCUGAGGAGUGAAUAGAACAGGAGCCAUAAAGCAGGUGGGCAGAAGAGUAUUUUGGGUCAUAUUGCUGAUCACACACUCUACAAUAGUGAGCCUGGAGGCUACAGUUAUGGCUGGCCUUUCUGGAUUAUUUUAAGAGAGGACCAAAUGCCAUGUUUCUCUGUGCUAUAGAAUUGGGAAAAUCACAUUUCUAUCACGUUAGUGUUUGUGUGUGUGUGUGUGUGUGUGUGUGUGUGUGUGUGUGUGUGUGUGUGUGUGUGUGUGUGUGUGUGUGUGUGUGUGUGUGUGUGUGUGUGUGUGUGUGUGUGUGUGUGUGUGUGUGUUUUACUAUAAAAUUCAGAGAAGUGGGGACAUUUAGCCUGUCCUCACUUGUAAAAGAAAAGCUAUUUUAGGGGUUAGGUUUAGGGUUAGUCAUUAGGUUUAGGGUUGGGAUAAGGGUUAGGGUUGUGUGUGUGUCUGUCUGUCUGUGUCUGUCUGUGUGUG
Oncorhynchus kisutch (coho salmon) is the source of this 3302-nucleotide long non-coding RNA. RefSeq lists it as uncharacterized. The record is from RefSeq and is a predicted model, not a curated record. NCBI's taxonomy places the organism in Eukaryota, Metazoa, Chordata, Actinopteri, Salmoniformes, Salmonidae. The transcript has 7 exons.